Molecule: long non-coding RNA, 408 nt
Organism: Cryptotermes secundus
Lineage: Eukaryota; Metazoa; Arthropoda; Insecta; Blattodea; Kalotermitidae
Exons: 3
Source: RefSeq, a predicted model, not a curated record
GUUCCAAGGUCAAGAAUGGUGGAACAUUCACUCCCCUUUAGCCGCUCCCCAAGAUGAUGGAAGAAUUAUGAGGCAGUCAGGAAGGACCAAAAAUGGGAAAGUUGCUAGGAUGGAAGGGAACUUAACCAAUGGGAAGUGACGAUUCCCAACGCGUCCAUGAGGACAGAAGCGUGCCCACGUUUCAAGACGGUAUAAGAAACCUGGAACAAGGGGCAGAGGCAAGCACGCUAUGGCUGGACGCUUGUAGCUUGACGCUGUCAAUAUAACAUUACUCGAGCCUUCAGGGCACAACUACGCCGGGGUGCGAGGCGCACCGCUGAGACGAAGGACAAGAGAGACGGGUCCAUAGUUGCAGCCCGAUAGAUGGCGAAUAUUUUGGUUAUAAAUCUAGUGAAAUGCUACAUUUGG